GGUACACGAGUGGCGAACGGGUGAGUAACACGUGAGUAACCUGCCCACAACUUUGGGAUAACGCUAGGAAACUGGUGCUAAUACUGGAUAUGUGCUCCUGCUGCAUGGUGGGGGUUGGAAAGCUCCGGCGGUUGUGGAUGGACUCGCGGCCUAUCAGCUUGUUGGUGGGGUAGUGGCCUACCAAGGCGGCGACGGGUAGCCGGCCUGAGAGGGUGACCGGCCACAUUGGGACUGAGAUACGGCCCAG
This 247-nucleotide ribosomal RNA is filed under the name uncultured bacterium. RNAcentral describes it as "partial 16S ribosomal RNA". It matches the Rfam family "Bacterial small subunit ribosomal RNA", at positions 86 to 334 of the family's 1533-position model. The record is from RNAcentral.